AGAGUUUGAUCCUGGCUCAGAAUGAACGCUGGCGGCGUGCCUAACACAUGCAAGUCGGAUGUGCCGCAAGGUGCAUGGCAGACGGGUGAGUAACGCGUGGGGAAUCUACCUCUUUGUGGGGAAUAACGCUCCGAAAGGAGUGGUAAUACCGUAUGAGAUCCAUGGCUGGGAUGCUGUGGAUGAAACCUGGGGACCGCAAGGCCUGGGGCAAGGAGAGGAUCCUGCGUCUGAUUAGCUAGUUGGUGAGGUAAUGGCCCACCAAGGCGACGAUCAGUAGCCGGCCUGAGAGGGUGAUCGGCCACACUGGAACUGAGACACGGUCCAGACUCCUACGGGAGGCAGCAGUGGGGAAUUUUGCGCAAUGGGCGAAAGCCUGACGCAGCAACGCCGCGUGGGUGAUGAAGGUCUUCGG
RNAcentral lists this ribosomal RNA (412 nucleotides) under uncultured bacterium. RNAcentral's name for it is "bacterial SSU rRNA". It matches the Rfam family "Bacterial small subunit ribosomal RNA", at positions 8 to 421 of the family's 1533-position model. The record is from RNAcentral.